Molecule: ribosomal RNA, 433 nt
Filed under: Clostridioides difficile
Lineage: Bacteria; Bacillati; Bacillota; Clostridia; Peptostreptococcales; Peptostreptococcaceae
Description: bacterial SSU rRNA
Rfam family: Bacterial small subunit ribosomal RNA
Source: RNAcentral
UUGAGAGGCAUCUCUUAAAUAUCAAAGGUGAGCCAGUACAGGAUGGACCCGCGUCUGAUUAGCUAGUUGGUAAGGUAACGGCUUACCAAGGCGACGAUCAGUAGCCGACCUGAGAGGGUGAUCGGCCACAUUGGAACUGAGACACGGUCCAAACUCCUACGGGAGGCAGCAGUGGGGAAUAUUGCACAAUGGGCGAAAGCCUGAUGCAGCAACGCCGCGUGAGUGAUGAAGGCCUUCGGGUCGUAAAACUCUGUCCUCAAGGAAGAUAAUGACGGUACUUGAGGAGGAAGCCCCGGCUAACUACGUGCCAGCAGCCGCGGUAAUACGUAGGGGGCUAGCGUUAUCCGGAUUUACUGGGCGUAAAGGGUGCGUAGGCGGUCUUUCAAGUCAGGAGUGAAAGGCUACGGCUCAACCGUAGUAAGCUCUUGAAACU